UACCGCCCUAGUUCUGACCGUAAACGAUGCCAACUAGCGAUCCGCCGGUGGAUUCUUUGCCCUGGUGGGGAGCUUCCCGGAAACGAAAGUCUUCCGGUUCCGGGGGAAGUAUGGUUGCAAAGCUGAAACUUAAAGGAAUUGACGGAAGGGCACCACCAGGAGUGGAGCCUGCGGCUUAAUUUGACUCAACACGGGGAAACUCACCCGGCCCGGACACCGUAAGGAUUGACAGAUUGAUAGCUUUUUCAUGAUUCGGUGGAUGGUGGUGCAUGGCCGUUCUUAGUUCGUGGAGCGAUUUGUCUGGUUUAUUCCGAUAACGAGCGAGACUCUAGCCUAUUAAAUAGUUUACCCAUUGCCUCUGUGGGCAGAACUUCUUAGAGGGAUUUUCGGUGUUCAACCGCACGAAAUUGAGCAAUAACAGGUCUGUGAUGCCCUUAGAUGUCCGGGGCUGCACGCGCGCUACACUGGUAAAAUCAGCGUGCUUGUCCUUCCCCGAAAGGGGUUGGUAAACCCUUGAAAAUUUGCCGUGAUUGGGAUCGGAAAUUGCAAUUAUUUUCCGUGAACGAGGAAUUCCAAGUAAGUGCGAGUCAUCAACUCGCGUUGAUUACGUCCCU
This 614-nucleotide ribosomal RNA is filed under the name Ibipora lolii. Its description in RNAcentral is "SSU rRNA". It matches the Rfam family "Eukaryotic small subunit ribosomal RNA", at positions 1013 to 1654 of the family's 1831-position model. Lineage: Eukaryota; Metazoa; Nematoda; Chromadorea; Rhabditida; Belonolaimidae. The record is from RNAcentral.